Molecule: long non-coding RNA, 1440 nt
Organism: Photinus pyralis (common eastern firefly)
Lineage: Eukaryota; Metazoa; Arthropoda; Insecta; Coleoptera; Lampyridae
Exons: 3
Source: RefSeq, a predicted model, not a curated record
UUUAGUUGGUUCAGCUUACGGGGCGAAGGGUGAACACUAGAGGUACUUUUUAGCAGCGUGUGUUUGCAAAAAAAGAGGUCUACCAUAAAUUUAUCCUGCCAUUCGAGAAACCACUUAUCCAACGGUUCAAACACGAAAAUCAUGGUGGUGUACCUAAUACGUAGGUAUGCUUAGGUACAUACUGAAAUAUCGAAAAAAUGUACUCGUGUGUUAUUAUGAAUUAGGAAAAAUGCGCAAUUUGGGAUCCCUUAACUUUAGAUGUACGGUUCAAUGCAGUAUCUUUGUAUCGACAGCGGAAAGUGGCCAAUUAGUUAGUUAAUUGCAGGCAUGGCUCGCGCUGUUUGUAAAAAUUUGGACAUCCCUCGUAUUACGAGUUUUCCUACUGCACAUAAUGCCUACAUUUAUGCAGAUUACGUGGAACCGCAAUGCAUUAUCUUAAGAUUUCAUUGCGUCAUCUAAAAAAGAGAGGAGUCGUUACCGCGCUCUCGCGACAGUACAUACGAUGGGCGAAAUAAAUUUGUGCAUUUGUGAAACAAUUUGGAUUAUAAAUAUGUCGUUUGGGAUUUUUGGCAAAUAAGGAGUCAUGCAUUAGCAAAGGUAAUAAAUAAGCUCUUCAAAUCGGACUGUAUACGAUAUUACAUAUUUUUCUUUUUUCUAAUUUCAUACCUACGCCUACGAUUUUAUUAAGGGGCCGCCAGUGGAAAUAUACGGAUCGAAUCCCUAUAAAAAACAUCCAUACCUACAUAAGCCUUUUCUAUGGAAUUCUUCAGUGUGAACGGCGUUAACAGACGUACCAGAAUGUUUAAAUACGAAUUUUGGAACUACGGCCAGGCGGCGAUGGGGCGGACAAUUGCGGACUCCUUUUGGUGAAUAAGGGAUUAAAUUUCAACCUCGUAUGUCCGGUCAAUGAAACAUUUUUGCAACCGACGCGUUUGGGCAAACGUUUGGGUAUAAUUAUAAAAAGAACCAGAACUAUUGCGAAGCGGCACUUGUGGAUCGUGUGUCGAAAAUUUCCUUUACGAGGUAGAGCAUUCCAAAAUUUUGUGUGGAUAUUUGUUUGAAAAUAAACAACAUUUUUGUGUGUUUUUAUAACCCUCCAACUGACUGCUGCAAUGAUGAUCAAACUAGUGAGUUCUAUUCUAGACCACCUGAAAAUGCAUUGCGCUAGGUCCGAAAUUAAUCAUCACUAACGUAUUUUUCGAAAGUACCAGUUUGAUUUCGAUUGCAGGCUGGGGUUCUUGUCAAUGACUUUUUAGCCUCCCAUUUGGCAUUUGACAUUCAAUUCUAGUACUUUUUUGUUCUAAGGGCGUUAGUUAAGUGUGAUUUAGAGUCGGUCCUCCAGUAACUUUUCUAGGGAUUUUAUAUUAGUGCGAUUUCACUAUCAUAUUUUUGGAAAGUUUGGAUGUACGUCACUAGCUAAAUUAAUAUAACUCUAGCAUU